CCUGGGACAAUUCCAGGAAUGAUGAAAUCUGAGUUGAUGGAGGCGUCAUUCUGGGAGACAAACAAGCACUGAAUUCAGCCGUAUGAAGUGGAAAUCCACCAACUUCACUCUUGCAGAUACAGACACACAUCAUCUUCCUUUCCAAAUGCAAACAAAUGGACAUAAUACCAAAGAACUGAAGGUAAAGAAUCCAUUACAAUCAACAUAUCACACAGACUAUGGUGAGAGAUUGUGCCACACUCUCAAAGAAACUGCGGAACCACCUGAUCAACAUCCUAUACAGCAAACAAGAGAGGAUCAAGAAUGAACUCUUAUCUCCUUAGACUGACCUCACACUUGGUAAAGCAACCCCUAUCCUUUCAUAUAUUUAUACCUGCUCCUGUAUUUUUCCCUUCAUGCAUCUGACGAAGUGGGCUCUAGCCCACAAAAGCUUAAGCCCAAAUAAAUGUAUUAGUCUCUAA
Gopherus flavomarginatus (Mexican gopher tortoise) is the source of this 461-nucleotide long non-coding RNA. RefSeq lists it as uncharacterized. Lineage: Eukaryota; Metazoa; Chordata; Testudines; Testudinidae. The record is from RefSeq and is a predicted model, not a curated record. The transcript has 2 exons.